This 402-nucleotide ribosomal RNA is filed under the name uncultured bacterium. Its description in RNAcentral is "partial 16S ribosomal RNA". It matches the Rfam family "Bacterial small subunit ribosomal RNA", at positions 355 to 774 of the family's 1533-position model. RNAcentral also lists the same sequence under 1 other name. The record is from RNAcentral.
UGGGGAAUAUUGGACAAUGGGGGCAACCCUGAUCCAGCCAUGCCGCGUGAGUGAUGAAGGCCCUAGGGUUGUAAAGCUCUUUCGGCGGGGACGAUAAUGACGGUACCCGCAGAAGAAGCCCCGGCUAACUUCGUGCCAGCAGCCGCGGUAAUACGAAGGGGGCUAGCGUUGCUCGGAAUCACUGGGCGUAAAGCGCACGUAGGCGGAUCUUUAAGUCAGGGGUGAAAUCCCAAGGCUCAACCUUGGAACUGCCUUUGAUACUGGGGAUCUCGAGUCCGGAAGAGGUUGGUGGAACUGCGAGUGUAGAGGUGAAAUUCGUAGAUAUUCGCAAGAACACCAGUGGCGAAGGCGGCCAACUGGUCCGGUACUGACGCUGAGGUGCGAAAGCGUGGGGAGCAAACA